UCUCGAAUUUGAUGGGAAGUGUAGAAUUGUAAUUAUCUAAAGUUGUGGCAUCUAUUUAGUAAUUAAGAAAACAAUUUGGCCUUAUAGCCAAUUUUCAGAAUUUAUAUUUGAGAUAGGAAUUGACGUGUACAUCGUCAAUUCACAAUACUCCUUUGGCAGCCACGUUUCUUCUUUUCUCCCCAACUCUUCUCUCUCCCUCACCGUCUCUCUACCUCACCGUCUCUCUCUUAUCAUCUCUCUCUUUCUCUCUAUCUUCCUCUCUUCUCUCUCUCUGUCUCUAUAUUGAUUCUUGGCUGAAAUACCCAAUUCAUAUUAUCAGCAUAAUCGGGGCUGCGUGGAUGCUUUAGCAAAGGGUAUUAAUGAUCAGCUCAUAUGAUUAGAAAUAUUGGGAAGUCAAAUUUAAAGUGGUGGUGGUCUCCAGCAGCAGUCGCCGGCGGUGGUGGCUGGAAUCCGACAAAGAAGAUAAGCUGUCCAAAAUCUGAAUUUCAGCUUUUGGUCCUUUGAAGAAUAAAUUGCUCGGAGGCCUUAAAGGUUGAAUAUUGACGAUCAGGACACACGGUUAGAAACCUCGAGAUGUUAGCUUUCCAUUGGUGUUGGAGCUCGGUAGUAUUAAUCGGCGGUGGUUGCCGGAAUCGGGCGAGAAGUUCAGCCUGCUCGCUGGACCUAUAAUGAAAUCUGCUGCCGCACCUGUUUUCGGAGCCAAAAUCGAAGGGUUUGGAGUAAGAAUUUGGGAAUAAUUCCUUCACAAAACUCGUAGAGGACAUCGUAAACUAUAAGUGUUGAGCGUAGUAAAGCUCUCACUCAAGGUUUAAGCUUAAAGAUGCUUCUAUAGCACUUCUAUAACACUAGCGUUGGACUCCAGGUGAGAAACUAUGACUCCUUAUCCAAUUUCUUUCUUGCGCAUAAUAUCUCCUUUGUUUGAACCGAAUAUUUUGUAUAUAUUGAAGCCUUCGAUACCUUGAUUAUAUUUGUUCUUGAAA
Erythranthe guttata (spotted monkey flower) is the source of this 980-nucleotide non-coding RNA. Lineage: Eukaryota; Viridiplantae; Streptophyta; Magnoliopsida; Lamiales; Phrymaceae. The record is from RefSeq and is a predicted model, not a curated record.